AUACGGAGGGGGCUAGCGUUGUUCGGAAUUACUGGGCGUAAAGGGCGUGUAGGCGGAUCGAUCAGUCAGGCGUGAAAGCCCCGGGCUCAACCCGGGAAAUGCGCUUGAAACUGUCGAUCUUGAGUUCGGGAGAGGGUAGUGGAAUUCCCAGUGUAGAGGUGAAAUUCGUAGAUAUUGGGAAGAACACCAGUGGCGAAGGCGGCUACCUGGACCGAUACUGACGCUGAUGCGCGAAAGCGUGGGGAGCAAACAGGAUUAGAAACCCCAGUAGUCC
RNAcentral lists this ribosomal RNA (274 nucleotides) under uncultured bacterium. Its description in RNAcentral is "partial 16S ribosomal RNA". It matches the Rfam family "Bacterial small subunit ribosomal RNA", at positions 523 to 796 of the family's 1533-position model. The record is from RNAcentral.